This is a long non-coding RNA of Struthio camelus australis, 3431 nucleotides long. RefSeq lists it as uncharacterized. The record is from RefSeq and is a predicted model, not a curated record. NCBI's taxonomy places the organism in Eukaryota, Metazoa, Chordata, Aves, Struthioniformes, Struthionidae.
GUAGUACAGAGGGGAGUACAUUUUUCCAGCUGUCAGUCCCCAGAUUCUCUGCAGACCUGACUUCCGAGGUAUCUCCAGACUUUUCGAUGCUGAACAUUUCUCAGUUUGUGAACCCAGCAGAGCUGGGCUGAGCCAGGUUCUGCCUAGCACCAGCAAUGCCAACAUCCCACGAGAAAAGCUGUUCUUGCUGUACUUUUGGAGGCUGGGACUUCCAGAAUGCGAUGCAGAGCAUUUAGUUUAUUAGACCCGUCUUUUGUGACCGGGACAGUUCACUAAGCUGAAAAAAGUCCUGUCUGCAUGCAUCUUGCAGCAGGGACAGCUGCAGGCUGGCACAUGUCUCCGCUGAAUCAGCAGGUCACUGGGGACCAACAACUCUGUUCAAGAAGAGGAGCCAUCUCCGAUGGGGUUCAAAGUCACCCUUAUUGGCUUGUGUCCUGACCAUUCGGCCUGUUGGCAAGCGUAUAUUCCUUGGUUUUACUUCAUAUCUGGUUUGUCCUAAGUUCCUAGUACUUGCAUGCUGGAGACAUUUUUUUUUCCAUUAGAUAAGUAUGUCUUCUGGAACCAAAAUCAUAGUGCAGAACUUUGUCCAGACUGGGCUCCAGCUUGAUGCAGUCAGAGACAUAACUUUGCAUUGGGUUUGGGUUCCCAUGUAAUUUACUCUGUCGGUCAUAGUUGCUCUCAAAUCUGGUAGUUUUCCUGAUCCACUUUUCAAUUACUCUGGCUUUUUAUUGUUGUAAUGAUGGUAACCAGGGAGCAACUCUUAACUUUUAUUGGUUCCACUGAGAGGAAAACUGACUGCUGCAAGCUGAAAGCUUUCUAUAGGAUUUAUAAUUAGAAGAAAUCAAUGAUGCCACUUCUGAACUGCUGCUCUUGGAAUACAUGGUAAUCAACGAUACAGAAACAAACUCUGUCUAGUGCUGAUGCUCAAAUGCCCCGAAUGAUACAGUGAGUACCCUGAAUGAAAACCUACUGCUUGAACAGGUAUUUGGCUUCCUAUGGAGAGCACUGAGAAUCACCCCCUGCAGGUUCUGGUGGACUUCAGAAGCCAUCACCAGGAAAGACAUCUCUUGGAGUCAGAGGAUGUUGCCCAGGAGAUAUCCAGAAGGGAGAGUAGACCUGAUCCAGUCCAGUCAAUAACUUCUUGACUCCUUACUUUAAAUUUCCUGCUAGGAAUGAAGCACAGUGCCUACUAGUUCCUUCAGUCUCCAUACCCCCAAUUCCCGAAGUUUGCUAUUGGUUGCUAGCUGCUAUGGCUGCAGAGCACCGUUUUGACUACUGGCACCUUUUGCAGAUGCUUAGCUGUCCUACCACUGCCACUGAUCUAUGCAGGGAAACAAUCCUAUGAGAAGAGCUUACUUCUUUGAAGUGUUACAUACUGAAAUAUUACUUAUGAUAAUUUCCUUUAAUGUCAGCUCAACUUUUAAAAUAUAGUGGGAGGGCUCUUUCCUUGAAUCCUCAACUGGCCUCGCUGCCUUACAGACUGAGAAAGGCCAUGUGGACACCCUGCACAGCACAAGGACAGGGGCUGUUCUCGUGAGGCCCAUGUUUGCCAGAGCCUGCCAUAGCAAGGUUUCAGAGACCUCAGCAUGCCCAACUUCCCUGCACUGUCAACUAGGCGUGGGUGCUCCCCUUUGGGCGUAAAUUGGACUUUCACAGCUCCCUUGCAAAAUCUAUCAAAGCUGCAUCAAUAAAAGCGUUCUUUUCAACAAGGGGCAGGACUGGCUCCUCUAGCAGUCACGGACUUAACUAGGUGAACACUCAGAUGUUAAUUUUUCCUGAGACUACUUGGCACAGUUUUCACAUGCAAGCCACCUAAAAAGGUCCUUUUCUGCCUUAUCAUUGUCCAUGAGGGCUCCAAAUGAUCCUCGUGUCCACUAACUUGGUAAUCACAGAUUGGGACAGGGGACUUUGAGACAGCAGCAGGAGAGUAGUCUCUUGACUUGUGCUUUUGAGAAUCAGGUCCGCAGUGCCAAAAGUUUCAUGUUUCAUAGAUUCCUUGUUUGGGGUAGGCCUUGCUAAUUCUGAACAACGCGUAUAAUAUCUUUGUCUUCGCUAUCAGAUCAGUUGCAUUUCAAGCCAUGGGUCUCUUGAACACUGCAAGGUUUUACAGCUUGCUACAUCUGAGUAAGCUGGCCAAUUUCUGUUGUUUUCUAGCAUGCUGGACUUGUAAACUUGAGCUGCUUUAACCAUAUACUGUUUUGUACUGGGUUUUCACAGCCUGUGUUCACAGAUAGAUAAGAAGCGAGACGAUGAUCCUGUGCAUGCAGAUGUAAAUUCAUAAUCACACCUUGCUCUGCUCCUGUCUCAGCUUUCCUAGCCAUGCAUCCACAGUACAUCGCAGGCAAAUGCAAACUGGCUCUGCCCACCCUCCUAGCCGACUGAAAAACCCCAGGAUGUGGCCCAAAAAAAUACUCUGACUGUACAGCAGCUGGCUGGGCUUUGUGCUGUGUUAAUCACAGUCACAUCGUUUCUGAGUAGCUCUGAAUGCACAUACGGCUUCUGCGAGCACUCACAGCACAUCACAUAGCUGUUCCUUUAGUCAGCUGGGCUUUGAGCUCAUAAACUACUGAUCUGGGACUGUUCUAUAGGGCCUGUUUAGUGUUGGCCACAGAUUAAUGCACAGAGCCCCAGCCUUCUCAAUGCAGAAUCUAAUGUAUUCCCAGCUCUGUCUGGGGACCAGAUGAAUAGCUGUUUUGUCCUGACUGUACUUGCUAGAUAAGCUCAGCCAUGGAUAUUUCAUAACGAGAGAGAAACUGUGAAUGCUGGAAAAGCCAGCAGUGUCUGGAGGAGCAGUGAGACCAUGCACAAAAGGGAGCGAGCUCCUGCAAGUGAAGCUGCAUUUGCAGAUGGGAUUUGUACUGUAAAGGCUGAAGGACUCACUAGUGAUGGCUAGGAGACAGCUAGCACCAUUUCAAUCCACGGCACUGUCUGUAAUGCAUUGUGGCAGGCCUGUGCUGUAAAAGAUCCUGGAUGAAAAGACAACAUAUGCAUACAUAAAUAUAUACAUACACAUAUAUGUGUGUGUGUGUGUGUGUGUGUGCAGUAUGUGUCAAUAGAGACAUAUUAAAUGUUAUAUAAACGUUCAGACAUACACUCCCUCCAAAUCCAGAGGUCUUCUAUUACACAGUUUUCUAUCAAAUAGCCUCUACUGUUUGCUGCUAAAGGGUGAACAUUUGCCAAUCUGAAGCCUGGAGCAACUUGCUUGUGUGCUGACCUGGGAGAAGGUAAAGACAAAGCAAUAAAGCCACUCGGGAGCCUGCAACAUGCAACCAAUCUUAAAGCAGCAAGGCCAUUUCCCUAUGUUCAUCCCUGAAUCAUUACUACCUUUAAAGCAGAACUAACUUCCUCUGUCCACCCCCUUGCUGGCUCACACAUCCACUGAAAGAGGGGUGGGAGUCCUACAGCUUCAGGAAUAAAAAUGCAAAAGAUGA